AGAACGAACGCUGGCGGCAUGCCUAAUACAUGCAAGUCGAACGAACUCUUCGGAGUUAGUGGCGCACGGGUGCGUAACGCGUGGGAAUCUGCCCUUGGGUUCGGAAUAACAGUUGGAAACGACUGCUAAUACCGGAUGAUGACGAAAGUCCAAAGAUUUAUCGCCAAGGGGAUGAGCCCGCGUAGGAUUAGCUAGUUGGUGAGGUAAAGGCUCACCAAGGCAACGAUCCUUAGCUGGUCUGAGAGAUGAUCAGCCACACUGGGACUGAGACACGGCCCAGACUCCUACGGAGGCAGCAGUAGGGAAUAUUGGACAAGUGGGACGAAAGCCUGACUCCAGCAAAUGACCGCGUAGAGUGAUGAAGGCCGUUAGGGUU
RNAcentral lists this ribosomal RNA (376 nucleotides) under uncultured soil bacterium. Its description in RNAcentral is "bacterial SSU rRNA". It matches the Rfam family "Bacterial small subunit ribosomal RNA", at positions 26 to 424 of the family's 1533-position model. The record is from RNAcentral.